AUUUUAAAUGUAACAUUAAUUUUU
Molecule: small nuclear RNA, 24 nt
Filed under: Arabidopsis thaliana (thale cress)
Lineage: Eukaryota; Viridiplantae; Streptophyta; Magnoliopsida; Brassicales; Brassicaceae
Description: snRNA_12272
Source: RNAcentral